This 253-nucleotide ribosomal RNA is filed under the name uncultured bacterium. RNAcentral's name for it is "partial 16S ribosomal RNA". It matches the Rfam family "Bacterial small subunit ribosomal RNA", at positions 524 to 776 of the family's 1533-position model. The record is from RNAcentral.
UACGUAGGGCGCAAGCGUUAUCCGGAAUUAUUGGGCGUAAAGAGCUCGUAGGUGGCCUGUCGCGUCGGCUGUGAAAACUCGGGGCUCAACUCCGAGCUUGCAGUCGAUACGGGCAGGCUAGAGUUCGGCAGGGGAGACUGGAAUUCCUGGUGUAGCGGUGAAAUGCGCAGAUAUCAGGAGGAACACCGGUGGCGAAGGCGGGUCUCUGGGCCGAUACUGACACUGAGGAGCGAAAGCGUGGGGAGCGAACAGG